ACACAACAGGUACGACUUUAGGACUUGAGAAGAGUCACAUAUUUUUGUCACUUGACCGUUCAGUCUGAGUUAAUCCAGAGAAUACGGGAAGCUCAAUCUACUGAUUCUACCCUAGUAGCCCUCAAGAGAGAUGCAGAACAGGGAGUUAGCUUAGAAUUUUGAGUCUCCACCGAUGGGUUGCUCAAAUUUCAGGACAGGAUGUGUGUUCCAGGUGGCAGUGAGUUAAAGAGGGACAUUAUGACAGAGGCUCAUACCUCAAAGUUUGCUAUGCAUCCC
This 276-nucleotide long non-coding RNA is filed under the name Carica papaya (papaya). RNAcentral describes it as "long non-coding RNA (CPAP_LNC009112)". Lineage: Eukaryota; Viridiplantae; Streptophyta; Magnoliopsida; Brassicales; Caricaceae. The record is from RNAcentral.